UCUCCGUAGGUGAACCUGCGUAAGGAUCAUUAUUGUAUAACCGAGGUGCGAGGGCUCCCGCUGUUCCGACAGGUCGAGCACGCCCGAGUGAACACACACACAACAGACUCAGCCGUAUGUGCAUAACCGCGUGGGUCCCCUUUUGGCUUGAUCGGAGGGGGGCUUACGUUUUCACACAAACUUUGUAUGCAGUGUAGAAUGUAUUUUUUGUUUUUGCGAACACGCGAUCAAUACAACUUUCAACAACGGAUCUCUUGGCUCUC
This 263-nucleotide unclassified non-coding RNA is filed under the name plant metagenome. Its description in RNAcentral is "partial contains small subunit ribosomal RNA, internal transcribed spacer 1, and 5.8S ribosomal RNA". The record is from RNAcentral.